This 142-nucleotide antisense RNA is filed under the name Mycobacterium tuberculosis H37Rv. RNAcentral's name for it is "Putative small regulatory RNA". The stretch from base 52 to 129 matches the Rfam family "ASpks TB sRNA". Lineage: Bacteria; Bacillati; Actinomycetota; Actinomycetes; Mycobacteriales; Mycobacteriaceae. The record is from RNAcentral. RNAcentral also lists the same sequence under 3 other names.
CUUGAUCACCCCGGCCACCCCCGCCGCGGCCUGCGUAUGACCCAUAUUCGACUUCACCGACCCCAACCACAAAGGUUCUCCCGGCUCCCCCCGAUCUUGCCCAUAAGUGGCCAACAACGCCUGAGCCUCAAUCGGAUCCCCC